RNAcentral lists this ribosomal RNA (433 nucleotides) under uncultured bacterium. RNAcentral describes it as "partial 16S ribosomal RNA". It matches the Rfam family "Bacterial small subunit ribosomal RNA", at positions 29 to 507 of the family's 1533-position model. The record is from RNAcentral.
AACGAACGCUGGCGGCAUGCCUAACACAUGCAAGUCGAACGAGACCUUCGGGUCUUGUGGCGCACGGGUGCGUAACGCGUGGGAACAUGCCCUUAGGUUCGGAAUAACUCCCCGAAAGGGGUGCUAAUACCGGAUAAUGUCUUCGGACCAAAGAUUUAUCGCAUUUGGAUGGGCACGCGUUGGAUUAGCUAGUUGGUAGGGUAAAAGCCUACCAAGGCGACGAUGCAUAGCUUGUCUGAGAGGAUGAUCAGCCACACUGGGACUGAGACGCGGCCCAGAAUCCUACGGGAGGCAGCAGUGGGGAAUAUUGGACAAUGGGCGAAAGGCUGAUCCAGCAAUGCCGCGUGAGUGAUGAAGGCCUUAGGGUUGUAAAGCGCUUUUACCCGGGAUGAUAAUGACAGUACCGGGAGAAUAAGCCCCGGCUAACUCCGUG